This 27-nucleotide non-coding RNA is filed under the name Rattus norvegicus (Norway rat). The record is from RNAcentral. Lineage: Eukaryota; Metazoa; Chordata; Mammalia; Rodentia; Muridae.
UGACAGGCUGGACAUGAUAAUCUCUCA